Non-coding RNA from Cajanus cajan (pigeon pea), 272 nucleotides. The record is from RefSeq and is a predicted model, not a curated record. NCBI's taxonomy places the organism in Eukaryota, Viridiplantae, Streptophyta, Magnoliopsida, Fabales, Fabaceae.
UGAGUAAAGCCGCCAUGUCCAAAGGAAUGAACCACUUUGUCUUUGUUGUCUACUCCAAUGCUCUUGCAACUCUCAUACUCCUCCCUAUCUCUUUCUUCAUCCACAGACCACCCCUUUCUUUCUCGCUUCUCUCCAAGUUCUUCCUCCUCGGUAUUCUUGGCAUAACUGUCAUGCAGAAUUGUGUUUUCACCGGCAUUGACUACAGCUCCCCCACUCUUGGAUCCGCUAUGAGCAACUUGACUCCAGCAAUCACUUUUCUGUUAGCGGUUACC